AUUGAACGCUGGCGGCAGGCUUAACACAUGCAAGUCGAGCGGAGCGAGGGUGCUUGCACCUUAGCUUAGCGGCGGACGGGUGAGUAAUGCUUAGGAAUCUGCCUAUUAGUGGGGGACAACAUUCCGAAAGGAAUGCUAAUACCGCAUACGCCCUACGGGGGAAAGCAGGGGAUCUUCGGACCUUGCGCUAAUAGAUGAGCCUAAGUAGGAUGAGCUAGUUGGUGGGGUAAAGGCCUACCAAGGCGACGAUCUGUAGCGGGUCUGAGAGGAUGAUCCGCCACACUGGGAUUGAGACACGGCCCAGACUCCUACGGGAGGCAGCAGUGGGGAAUAUUGGACAAUGGGCGGAAGCCUGAUCCAGCCAUGCCGCGUGUGUGAAGAAGGCCUUUUGGUUGUAAAGCACUUUAAGCGAGGAGGAGGCUGCUUAGAUUAAUACUCUGGGAUAGUGGACGUUACUCGCAGAAUAAGCACCGGCUAACUCUGUGCCAGCCGCCGCCGUAA
RNAcentral lists this ribosomal RNA (501 nucleotides) under uncultured bacterium. Its description in RNAcentral is "partial 16S ribosomal RNA". It matches the Rfam family "Bacterial small subunit ribosomal RNA", at positions 30 to 523 of the family's 1533-position model. The record is from RNAcentral.